UACGGAAGGCAGCAGUAAGGAAUAUUGGUCAAUGGGCGCAAGCCUGAACCAGCCAUGCCGCGUGCAGGAAGACGGCCCUCCGGGUUGUAAACUGCUUUUAUACCGGAAUAAACCUCCCUACGUGUAGGGAGCUGAAUGUACGGUAGGAAUAAGGAUCGGCUAACUCCGUGCCAGCAGCCGCGGUAAUACGGAGGAUCCGAGCGUUAUCCGGAUUUAUUGGGUUUAAAGGGUGCGUAGGCGGCCUGUUAAGUCAGGGGUGAAAGACGGUGGCUCAACCAUCGCAGUGCCCCUUGAUACUGACGGGCUUGAAUUAACUAGAGGCAGGCGGAAUGUGACAAGUAGCGGUGAAAUGCAUAGAUAUGUCACAGAACACCGAUUGCGAAGGCAGCUUGCUAUGGUUAUAUUGACGCUGAGGCACGAAAGCGUGGGGAUCAAACAGGAUUAGAUACC
This 450-nucleotide ribosomal RNA is filed under the name uncultured bacterium. RNAcentral describes it as "bacterial SSU rRNA". It matches the Rfam family "Bacterial small subunit ribosomal RNA", at positions 340 to 786 of the family's 1533-position model. The record is from RNAcentral.